GAUGAACGCUGGCUACAGGCUUAACACAUGCAAGUCGAGGGGAAACGACGGGGAAGCUUGCUUCCCCGGGCGUCGACCGGCGCACGGGUGAGUAACGCGUAUCCAACCUGCCUCUGACUGAGGGAUAACCCGUCGAAAGUCGGCCUAAUACCUCAUGGCAUCGUCUGCGGGCAUCUAACGACGAUUAAAGAUUUCAUCGGUCAGGGAUGGGGAUGCGUCUGAUUAGCUUGUUGGCGGGGUACCGGCCCACCAAGGCUACGAUCAGUAGGGGUUCUGAGAGGAAGGUCCCCCACAUUGGAACUGGGACACGGUCCAAACUGCUACGGGAGGCAGCAGUUAGGAAGAUUGGUGAAGGGGCGGGAGCCUGAACCAGCCAAGUAGGGUGCAGGAUGACGGCCCUAUGGGUUGUAAACUGCUUUUAGGCGGGGAUAAAGUGAGGGACGUGUCCUUCAUUGCAGGUACCGCAUGAAUAAGGACCGGCUAAUUCCGUG
Molecule: ribosomal RNA, 491 nt
Filed under: uncultured bacterium
Lineage: Bacteria
Description: partial 16S ribosomal RNA
Rfam family: Bacterial small subunit ribosomal RNA
Source: RNAcentral